GAUGAACGCUAGCGGCAGGCUUAACACAUGCAAGUCGAGGGGCAGCGGGGAGGAAGCUUGCUUUCUCCGCCGGCGACCGGCGCACGGGUGAGUAACACGUAUGCAACCUGCCCGCCACAGGGGGAUAAGCGGAAGAAAUUCCGUCUAAUACCGCGUGACGCGGCGCCGGGGCAUCCCGGUGCCGCCAAAGGGAUUACCGGUGGCGGAUGGGCAUGCGGCGCAUUAGCUAGUCGGCGGGGUAACGGCCCACCGAGGCGACGAUGCGUAGGGGUUCUGAGAGGAAGGUCCCCCACACUGGUACUGAGACACGGACCAG
This 316-nucleotide ribosomal RNA is filed under the name uncultured bacterium. Its description in RNAcentral is "bacterial SSU rRNA". It matches the Rfam family "Bacterial small subunit ribosomal RNA", at positions 28 to 334 of the family's 1533-position model. The record is from RNAcentral.